This 289-nucleotide long non-coding RNA is filed under the name Oryza sativa (Asian cultivated rice). Its description in RNAcentral is "long non-coding RNA (OSAT_LNC001279)". The record is from RNAcentral. Lineage: Eukaryota; Viridiplantae; Streptophyta; Magnoliopsida; Poales; Poaceae.
CUCAAGGGCCUCGCGUACGAGUUCAUCGAGGAGGAGAUCGGCGGCGGCAAGAGCGAGCUCCUCCUCGCCUCCAACCCCGUCCACAAGAAGGUCCCCGUCCUCCUCCACCGCAGCAACCCCAUCUGCGAGUCCCAGGUCAUCGUCCAGUACCUCGACGACGCCUUCCCCGGCGGCGCCGCCGGCGGCGACCUCCUCCCCUCCGACCCCCACGCCCGCGCCGUCGCCCGAUUCUGGGCGGCGUACAUCGACGCCGAGUUCUUCGCGCCGUGGAACAGGUCGUUCUACACGG